GCGUGUAUCCGAACGGCGUACCUGUCACUCCUCCCGCGCGCCCGCUAGUCGCCCAGUGUUUAUUAAAUGGAAACGAGUUUUAAGGUUAUAAAAACAUCAAACCAUGGCACGCUAUAAAUCUAAAGGGAUUAGAGGUAAUUGGUCAGAAGCAUCAAUGAAACAAGCAUUAACUGCAAUCAAAAGCGGUAAGAUGAAAAUAUAUACGGCUUCAAAGCACUAUAAGCCAAGACGUACUUUCAGGCGUUAUUUACUAGAGAAAGAGGUGACAAAAUCUACAUUGGGUCGGAAACCGCUUCUUAACCCUGAACAAGAGAAGAUUUUAGCAUACUUAGCAUUUUAAGUUUAAAAUUAAGAAAGACUUGUUGAGUCUCAUUGUUGACUUUAUCUUUUAAUUUAAAUUUUUGUAAAGGUACUUAGUUCCUUAUUUGUAAUGAAUAUCGCCCAAAGAAUAUCUUUUAAAUAAAUCUUCUAUUAAAAUAUAAUAA
Long non-coding RNA from Ostrinia nubilalis (European corn borer), 485 nucleotides. RefSeq lists it as uncharacterized. Lineage: Eukaryota; Metazoa; Arthropoda; Insecta; Lepidoptera; Crambidae. The transcript has 2 exons. The record is from RefSeq and is a predicted model, not a curated record.